GAAAGGGCCCAAGAACUGCUAACUCACAAACCUGAUACUGAACCAUCAGACCUUUC
RNAcentral lists this transfer RNA (56 nucleotides) under Brookesia therezieni. RNAcentral describes it as "tRNA-Ser". The record is from RNAcentral. Lineage: Eukaryota; Metazoa; Chordata; Lepidosauria; Squamata; Chamaeleonidae.